RNAcentral lists this ribosomal RNA (1554 nucleotides) under Haemodracon trachyrhinus. RNAcentral describes it as "16S rRNA". It matches the Rfam family "Bacterial large subunit ribosomal RNA". The record is from RNAcentral. Lineage: Eukaryota; Metazoa; Chordata; Lepidosauria; Squamata; Phyllodactylidae.
GCCAAAAACUAGCCUAACCUACCCCCCGAACAUUUUUCUCCAUCCCCACCCAAAACAUUUUCUACACUUAGUAUGAGAGACAGAAAAACUUACACCAGAGCAAUAGCCCCCAGUACCGUAAGGGAAUAAUGAAAGAAUAAUAAAAAGCCCAGCAAAAAAAAGCAGCGAUCUCCCCCCGUACCUCUAGCAUCAUGGUUUAGCAAGCAAAAACAGAUAAGGCGACCUAAAACCUGCCCACCCGAACCCAGACGAUCUAUCCUGGGGCACUAUAAGAGUUCCAACCCAUCUCUGUAGCAAAAGAGCGGGAUGACCUCAGGAUAGCGGUGAAACGCCAAUCGAGCCUGGCGAUAGCUGGUUGCUCACUAAACAAAUCUAAGUUUAACUCCAAUACACACCCCACAACAAAUGACUCCUCAUGAUUAUAUUGGAAGCUAUACCACUAAGGCACAACUUAAUGGUAAUCGGAUACAACCGAAAUCAGAAGGCACAAUACAACUACCUACCCUAAGUUGGCCCUAAAGCAGCCACCAAUACUUAACCGCGUCUAAGCGCCCAAAUUAUAAAUAUCACCAAAACAUCAAACCCUCUACCCCAAACUGAGCUACCCCAGACAUCACUGGGGGCAACACUGCUAAAACUAGUAAUAAGAGUACCCUCUCCAAGCACAUCCUUGAAUCGACCAUUGAUAAUCUACCGACCAUUACACACCAACCCAGACCAAGGAACUAACCCCAUUCCCCACAAUGUCAACCCAACACAGGAGUGCAUCAAAGAAAGAUUAAAAGUCAUAAAAGGAAUUCAGCUAAUGUGCCCCACCUGUUUACCAAAAACAUGGCCUUUAGCACCACUAAGUAUUAAAGGUCCCGCCUGCCCAGUGAAUCACCCUUUUAACGGCCGCGGUAUCCUAACCGUGCGAAGGUAGCGUAAUCACUUGUCCCUUAAAUGAGGACUAGUAUGAACGGCUUAAUGAGGGCCCAACUGUCUCCUAUGAUCAAUCAAUGAAACUGAUCCCCCAGUCCAAAAGCUGGGAUACACCCAUAAGACGAGAAGACCCUGUGGAACUUAAAAUCAUAUCACUAAUACAUUCACCAUAGACUAACACCUACAUAGUGACCAUUUUUAGUUGGGGCGACUAUAGAACACAAAAAAACUUCUACGAUAUAAGGCCAACCCCGUCUAAGGCCAACACGCCAAAAACAACACUAAACUAACUGACCCAGUACAACUGACCAACGAACCAAGCUACCCCAGGGAUAACAGCGCCAUCCUCUUCUAGAGCCCCUAUCGCCAAGAGGGUUUACGACCUCGAUGUUGGAUCAGGACACCCCGGUGGUGUAGCCGCUACCAAAGGUUCGUUUGUUCAACGAUUAAAGUCCUACGUGAUCUGAGUUCAGACCGGAGCAAUCCAGGUCGGUUUCUAUCUAUGCCACCAUUUCUUCAGUACGAAAGGAUCAAGAAAAACGUACCCAUACCCGACAGCAUGUACGAAACCCCCCCCCUAUUGAAAUUAACUUAAAAAGCGGAUAAAAAAGACCCGCUCAAAAUAAGAGCCUU